UCUACGGGAGGCAGCAGUAGGGAAUCUUCCGCAAUGGGCGAAAGCCUGACGGAGCAACGCCGCGUGAGUGAUGAAGGUCUUAGGAUCGUAAAACUCUGUUGUUAGGGAAGAACAAAUUUGUUAGUAACUGAACAAGUCUUGACGGUACCUAACCAGAAAGCCACGGCUAACUACGUGCCAGCAGCCGCGGUAAUA
RNAcentral lists this ribosomal RNA (195 nucleotides) under uncultured bacterium. Its description in RNAcentral is "partial 16S ribosomal RNA". It matches the Rfam family "Bacterial small subunit ribosomal RNA", at positions 338 to 525 of the family's 1533-position model. RNAcentral also lists the same sequence under 1 other name. The record is from RNAcentral.